UAGAUAGUAGGCGGGGUAACGGGCCACGUAGUCUUCGGUGGAUAGGGGUUCUGAGAGGAAGGUCCCCCACAUUGGAACUGAGACACGGUCCAAACUCCUACGGGAGGCAGCAGUGAGGAAUAUUGGUCAAUGGGCGAGAGCCUGAACCAGCCAAGUAGCGUGAAGGAUGACUGCCCUAUGGGUUGUAAACUUCUUUUAUAAAGGAAUAAAGUCGGGUAUGGAUACCCGUUUGCAUGUACUUUAUGAAUAAGGAUCGGCUAACUCCGUGCCAGCAGCCGCGGUAAUACGGAGGAUCCGAGCGUUAUCCGGAUUUAUUGGGUUUAAAGGGAGCGUAGAUGGAUGUUUAAGUCAGUUGUGAAAGUUUGCGGCUCAACCGUAAAAUUGCAGUUGAUACUGGAUAUCUUGAGUGCAGUUGAGGCAGGCGGAAUUCGUGGUGUAGCGGUGAAAUGCUUAGAUAUCACGAAGAACUCCGAUUGCGAAGGCAGCCUGCUAAGCUGCAACUGACAUUGAGGCUCGAAAGUGUGGGUAUCAAACAGGAUUAGAUACCCUGGUAGUCCACACGGUAAACGAU
RNAcentral lists this ribosomal RNA (571 nucleotides) under uncultured bacterium. RNAcentral's name for it is "bacterial SSU rRNA". It matches the Rfam family "Bacterial small subunit ribosomal RNA", at positions 242 to 810 of the family's 1533-position model. The record is from RNAcentral.